CCCUUGGGUUGUAAAGGCUCUUUCGGUUGGGAAGAAGGGUAGAUUGGCUAAUAUCCAAUUUACUGGACGGUACCAGAAGAAGAAGCACCGGCUAACUCCGUGC
Molecule: ribosomal RNA, 103 nt
Filed under: uncultured bacterium
Lineage: Bacteria
Description: partial 16S ribosomal RNA
Source: RNAcentral